CAGCCGCCGCGGUAAUACAGAGGGUGCGAGCGUUAAUCGGAUUUACUGGGCGUAAAGCGUGCGUAGGCGGCUUCUUAAGUCGGAUGUGAAAUCCCUGAGCUUAACUUAGGAAUUGCAUUCGAUACUGGGAAGCUAGAGUAUGGGAGAGGAUGGUAGAAUUCCAGGUGUAGCGGUGAAAUGCGUAGAGAUCUGGAGGAAUACCGAUGGCGAAGGCAGCCAUCUGGCCUAAUACUGACGCUGAGGUACGAAAGCAUGGGGAGCAAACAGGAUUAGAUACCCCUGUAGUCCCUGUCUCUUAACA
This 301-nucleotide ribosomal RNA is filed under the name uncultured bacterium. RNAcentral's name for it is "partial 16S ribosomal RNA". It matches the Rfam family "Bacterial small subunit ribosomal RNA", at positions 509 to 808 of the family's 1533-position model. The record is from RNAcentral.